AUUGAACGCUGGCGGCAGGCCUAACACAUGCAAGUCGAGCGAGCGGCGCACGCGUGAGUAAUGCCCGGGAAAAUGCCUGCUCUAGGGGGGUAACCACUGUAAACGACAGCUACUAACGCAUCCCCUCUGAUGUUCCCAGAUGGGAUUAGCUAGUGGGUGGGGUAACGGCCCACCUAGGCGACGAACCCUAGCUGGUCUGAGAGGAUGACCAGCCACACUGGAACUGAGACACGGUCCAGACUCCUACGGGAGGCAGCAGUGGGGAAUAUUGCACAAUGGGCGCAAGCCUGAUGCAGCCAUGCCGCGUGUGUGAAGAAGGCCUUCGGGUUGUAAAGCACUUUCAGCGGGGAGGCGUUACCCGCAGAAGAAGCACCGGCUAACUCCGUGCCAGCCGCCGCGGUAAUUC
This 406-nucleotide ribosomal RNA is filed under the name uncultured bacterium. RNAcentral describes it as "partial 16S ribosomal RNA". It matches the Rfam family "Bacterial small subunit ribosomal RNA", at positions 30 to 526 of the family's 1533-position model. The record is from RNAcentral.